This 450-nucleotide ribosomal RNA is filed under the name uncultured bacterium. RNAcentral describes it as "partial 16S ribosomal RNA". It matches the Rfam family "Bacterial small subunit ribosomal RNA", at positions 354 to 796 of the family's 1533-position model. The record is from RNAcentral.
GUGGGGAAUCUUCCGCAAUGGACGAAAGUCUGACGGAGCAACGCCGCGUGUAUGAAGAAGGCCUUCGGGUUGUAAAGUACUGUUGUCAGGGACGAACCGUAUAUGUGUAAAUAAUGCAUAUACCUGACGGUACCUGACGAGGAAGCCCCGGCUAACUACGUGCCAGCAGCCGCGGUAAUACGUAGGGGGCAAGCGUUGUCCGGAAUUAUUGGGGGUAAAGGGCGCGUAGGCGGCUGUAUAAGUCUGAUGUGAAAGUGCAGAGCAUAACUCCGUAAAGCAUUGGAAACUGUACGGCUUGAGGACAGGAGAGGAAAGUGGAAUUCCACGUGUAGCGGUGAAAUGCGUAGAUAUGUGGAGGAACACCAGUGGCGAAGGCGACUUUCUGGACUGUAACUGACGCUGAGGCGCGAAAGCGUGGGGAGCGAACAGGAUUAGAAACCCUAGUAGUCC